RNAcentral lists this transfer RNA (67 nucleotides) under Schistosoma mansoni. The record is from RNAcentral. Lineage: Eukaryota; Metazoa; Platyhelminthes; Trematoda; Strigeidida; Schistosomatidae.
UCAGUGGCCGAGUGGAUAACGCGAUGGCGUUUGAAGCGAAAAGUACUGGGUUCGAGUCCCAGAGUGA